RNAcentral lists this ribosomal RNA (1440 nucleotides) under Triticum aestivum (bread wheat). Its description in RNAcentral is "partial small subunit ribosomal RNA". Lineage: Eukaryota; Viridiplantae; Streptophyta; Magnoliopsida; Poales; Poaceae. The record is from RNAcentral.
AUGGUCCUCGCGCCCGCGCCGCGCUCCCCGGAGCCCGUGCGAGUCGUCAUGGCGCACUCCGUCGAGAUGGAGGAGGCCGAGCAGGUGCUUGCCCGCGCAAUGGUGGCCUCCAUCACCGGCAACAGGCCAUCCGUGUCCACGACCGAGGUGUCCGACCUGCUCAUCAGCGCGCUCGAGCUCUCGGAGGGUGACUUCACGGUCCACGAGCACCACCCCGAGGAUUUCCUUAUCCUCUGCUCCUCCCACACCACCAAGCGCCGCCUCGACGGCGACCACUUCAUCAACUCUCCGUGCUUCUCCCUUUCACUCCGGCCAUGGAGCAAGCUCGCCCAUGCCGGCUCUGGUGUGUUCGAGUACCGCGUUGAGCUAGAACUCCGCGGCAUUCCAGCCCAAGCCUGGCACCUGUCAACAGCGGAGCACAUUUUGGGGGAAAGCUGUUGGAUCGAGCGUCUGCAUCCUCGCACGCGCUCGCGGGACGACCUGGCCACCUUCCGGCUAUCUGGCCGCACGCACGACCCCGCCCACAUCCGCCGCACCGCCAUCCUCGAGAUCGUCGAGCAGAUUCCCUCGCGCAUAAGCUCCGAAGCGCCGACCAUCAGGACGCUCACGUUCCCCAUCUCCGUUGUGAUCACGCGCGCCGACAUGAUCCAGCCGGUCUCCACCGGGUUCCAGGCCGACACCGACCGCGACAGGAGUUGCGCCGGUAACCCACCAGGCCCAGACCAAGGACCCGGCCGCGGACGCGCCCGCCGACGCGGCCGCAAGCGACGGAGGACUGAUGCGCAGCCGGGCGGGCGCGCGGAUGGCAUGGCCGUCGAUUCGCUGGGCUGGCACGCCGGCGACCGCUCCGGCCGCAUUGACGGGGUGAACACGGCCUCCUCUUGGCCCACUCCGGCCGGCGUGGUGCCGCGGCCGCCCGCGCCCACCACGAGGAACGGCAUGCUGCCAUGGCCAGGUCAGCAGGGGCCCACCCAAUCUCGUCGCCGCUCCAGAAAAUGGAAAAGCAAGAGAAGGCAAAGGCACACUUUUGGCAUGGACCAGGCGCGCAAGGCUGCGACCGCCACAGGAGAUGCCAGGGUCGGGGCCACCACGGCUGCUGGCGAGACGUCAUUGGCUGCAGGGCCAUCAGAAGCCUCCACAGAUUCAAACUCCGCCCCAGCCCCCGAGCCCGAGGAGGAUCCCGCUGGGCCAACCGCUGGCUCACAUGAUCCGAUGGCUUGUCGGGACCUGGCCGCCCUGAGCGAGGUGCCAGACUCGCAGCCUGAGGAGCCAGCCGAGCAGACCGGCCUGUCGGGACAAAGCGGUUCUUUGCACACGUACUCCCCGUCAGCGGGACCGGGCGCAUGCGCUGACCUGUCCACGCGGCCCCACCCCCCGCGACGCGCCAGAUGGGGAGAUGCGAGAGGCCACAACCCCUGCCUGCCCGACAGGCCUUGCUGA